Molecule: non-coding RNA, 27 nt
Filed under: Homo sapiens (human)
Lineage: Eukaryota; Metazoa; Chordata; Mammalia; Primates; Hominidae
Source: RNAcentral
UGGUGAUGAUUCUUAACGAGCAUGCUG